UUAGUGGAUCAGUGACGGGGCUCCGUUCUGGCCACAACAUCAGGUGGUGUAGAGUGGAUCAGUGACGGGGCUCCGUUCUGGCCACAACAUCAGGUGGUGUUGAGUGGAUCAGUGACGGGGCUCCGUUCUGGCCACAACAUCAGGUGGUGUUGAGUGGAUCAGUGACGGGGCUCCGUUCUGGCCACAACAUCAGGUGGUGUAGAGUGGAUCAGUGACGGGGCUCCGUUCUGGCCACAACAUCAGGUGGUGUCAGGUGGAUCAGUGACGGGGCUCCGUUCUGGCCACAACAUCAGGUGGUAUAGAGUGGAUCAGUGACGGGGCUCCGUUCUGGCCACAACAUCAGGUGGUGUAGAGUGGAUCAGUGACGGGGCUCCGUUCUGGCCACAACAUCAGGUGUGUGUUGAAUGUAGUGAUCACGCC
Oncorhynchus tshawytscha (Chinook salmon) is the source of this 420-nucleotide long non-coding RNA. RefSeq lists it as uncharacterized. The transcript has 3 exons. Lineage: Eukaryota; Metazoa; Chordata; Actinopteri; Salmoniformes; Salmonidae. The record is from RefSeq and is a predicted model, not a curated record.